RNAcentral lists this long non-coding RNA (931 nucleotides) under Homo sapiens (human). Its description in RNAcentral is "HSALNT0044253". The record is from RNAcentral. Lineage: Eukaryota; Metazoa; Chordata; Mammalia; Primates; Hominidae.
UCCGACGCCCUCGAGUUUUAGCCCAACACUGAAGAUACAGACAGUACAGGGGUAAAUCCUGGGCCCAGGCUCCUGGGUGAAUUAUUUUAUCCUCCCCUAUGCGCUUUGUCAGCCAAGUGAAUGUAGAAAAGCAAGCAAAACUCCAGAACCCCACAACGAUUCACGCCACGCUUCGGUGGCACAACUCUUUUCUUCCCCUUUUAGAUUAGUACUGUGCAGGGAAGGCUGCACCUGCUACCUUCAGACACCGGGGAUCUGGCUAGGACCCUCUUCCUCUACCCCUACUCUCUCCUCCCGUCCCCACCCUCUCCCAGAUGCACCCCAAUCCAGCCUCUCAACCCUGUCGCUGUUUGCAAACUCGAGGGAUGUUUAGUGCAAUUGCCUUUAAAUAAGCAAUUCACGUAAGAGGUAUUUAUUGCAGAGGGUUUCAGGUCUGGGAGGGGGUAAGGAGUUAGUUAAUGAAGGAUUAGAGGCAAAGCUGGGAAAGAACGAGUAGACAGGCCAGUUUCUUUCUUUCUUUUUAAAAUCUAUUAUUCUGGAAAACCCUUGUUCGAAAAGAGUAAAGAAUUGCUAUUUGGGCAACAAUAUGGCUCCUUCAGAACUGGUCGAGAAUUUCUGUGGUCUUUGCUUGACCUUCAAGUUGGGAGUUUCAAAUCAGAGGCUUUGAAGUCUGGAGGAGUUCGCAGCCAUUAAUCCUUCCGGGGUUGUGCUAAAGGCGUUUCUAGAAAGAGAUCGGAAAGACCCGUUCAGCACAGGCCCAUUGCAUCUUCUCUUUGAAAACGCUUGUCUGAAUCAAGUAUCUUAUACAGACCCGAGACUGAGGGGAGCAAGAGCGCAGGUCCGGCUGUGGCGAGGUGUCCACCACCGUACUUGUGGUCAAUGCCUGGACUAGAGAGCCGAGGCCGUCCAGGGCGGGCUGGCCAGGGAACCA